Cavia porcellus (domestic guinea pig) is the source of this 2884-nucleotide long non-coding RNA. RefSeq lists it as uncharacterized. The record is from RefSeq and is a predicted model, not a curated record. NCBI's taxonomy places the organism in Eukaryota, Metazoa, Chordata, Mammalia, Rodentia, Caviidae. The transcript has 2 exons.
ACUAGUCUCAAUAGCCUUUAUUUGUAAGUUUGGUGGACUCUCAAUGUAUAAUAUAAUGCUUGUGCCAAUGCUUUUCAAUCUUGACUCUUCUAAAGUAUGUUUGUAGAUUGAGUCCUAAGUAUUUGUUUUUUGUUUGUUUGUUUGUUUGUUGUCUAUUUUUCUUUUUAUUGGUACCGGGGGUCAAACUCAUGACCGCCUGCUUGCAAGGCAGGUGCUUAUGCCGCUGAGCUAAAUCCCCAGCCCCUGAUUCCUAAGUAUUUCUUUUUUUGGUAUUAUGCUAUUGUGAAGGAUGUGGUUCCCCUAACUUCUCUUUUAGUGAGUUUGUUGUUGGUGUACAGGAAUACUGUUGAUUUGCAAGUGUUAAUCUUUGUAUCCAGCUAAAUUUGGUUAUUAAAUCUACAAGUCUUUUGAUGUAGGUUUUGGGAUCUCCUAUUUUCUUUCCCAUCCUUACUCCUUUACUUUCUUUUUCUUGUCUAAUUGCUCUGGCUAAUGUUUCCAGAACUAUAUUCAAUAGAGUUCCUGAUUUUUAGAGUGAAAGUUUUAAAUUGUUGACCAUUUAAUAUGAUGUUGGCUGUUGGUUAGUCAUAGAUGGCAUUUUUUAGAUUUAGGUGAAGACCCAUCUAUGCAGUUUUCUAUAUAGGAUUUUUUUUUUUUAAAUGAAUGGGUGUUGAACUUUGUCAAAUGCUUUUUCUGCAUCUGUUGAGAUGAUCAUGUGAUUUUUGUCUUUGGCUCUCUUGAUAUAGUGUAGUAUUACAUUGAAAAUUACUCUGAAUAAGGUGAUUGAAGAGGACAUCAGACAAUGUAAAGAUAACCCCUGCUCAUGGAUAGGAAGCACCAACAUAGUGAAAAUGGCCAUACUCCCAAAAUUGUUACACAGAUUUAAUGUAAUCCCAAUCAAGAUUUACUAGCAUACCUCACAGAAUUAGAGAAAACAUUCCUAAAAGCCAUUUGGAACCAGAAGAGGCUUAACAGCUCUCACCAACAAAGGCAAGGUGGGAGUUAGCACAAUCCCUGACUUGAAAUUAUGCUUCAGAGCUACUGGAAUUAAAAAUAGCAUAGUAUUGACAAAUUAAAAACAAAACAAAAGACCUGAGGAUCAAUGGAACAGAAGAUUCAGAAACAACUCUAUAAGCACACUUAACCCCUUAAUCUUUUGUUUUGUUUUGUUUUAGCCCCUUAAUCUUUGACAAAAUAGCCAAAUACCUUCACUGGAAGGAAGAUGGGCUCUUUAAUAAAUGAUGCUGGAAAAAACUGGCUUUCUGCUUGCCACAGAUUAAAACCAGACCCAUGUCUAUCACCAUGUACUAAACUAAAAUCAAAAUGGAUCAAAAGACCUAAAUAUUAAAACAGAAACACUGAGUCAGCUGGAAUAGAGAAUAGGCAGAAUGCUUGAAGGCAUAUGUGUAAGCAAAGAUUUCAUGAACAAAGCCCCAGCUGAGUGAGAAAUUAUAUAAAGAAUCAAACCUGGGGUCAUCUUAUUAAAAAGCUUUUGCAUAGCUAAAGAAAUCACCACCAGAGUGAAAAGACAAUUUGCAGAGUGGGAAAAUAUUUUAGCCAAUUGUCCCUUCGACACAGGGCUUACAUCCAGAACAAGUAAAGAAUUGAAAAAAAUCAGACACCCCCCCCCAAAUCUAAAGAUCCAGUCCACAAGUGGGCAUCUGAGAUGAAUAUUUACUUCUCAGAUGAAGAACCACAAGCAACAAAUAAAUGCAUAAAGAAGUGUUGAACAUCACUGGUUAUUCGAGAGAUCAACCAAUAACACGCUGGAGGGGCUGUGGGGAAAAGGAAGCCUUCCCCAUUGUUGAUGGGAAUAUAAACUGGGAGCAGGGAGCUCAGGGAGCAACUCACUGAGGAGAUUCCUCAAAAAACUAGGAUUAGAGGUCCUGUUUGACCCAGCUGUUCCCCUUCUGGGUAUUUUCCCAAAAGAACUAAAAAUAUAACCACUGCAAUAGAUGUGCACCUAUGUUUAUAGCAGCAGAGUUUGUAAUAGCGAAAUCUUGGAAGCAACCCAGAUGUCCAUCAGUCAUGGAAUGGAUAAAAAAGAUGGUAUUUUUAUAUGAUGGAACGCUACUUGGCCAUAAAGAAGGAUAAACUUGCUGGGGGUAUAGUAUAGUUCAGCGACAGAAUGCCAGCCUGGCAAGCGUGAGAUCAUGAAUUUCAUUCCUGGUACAAAAGAAAAAAAAAGGAAGAAAAAGAAGGAUAAACUUGAGAUAUUUCUAGGUAAAUGGGUAUAAUUUGAGACCAUACCCUUACUCAAAUGUAUAAAUAUGCCUUGUCUCUCUGGUGUAAAAAACUGAAAGAGUAAAUAAGGACCAAACUAUACAAUAAUAUUGUGAAAUGAGAAGAAAUUGUUCAAAAGGAAAGAGGAACUAGGGAGGAGAAAGGGAAAAGGAAAAAAUUAAUAAAAGAAUAGGUGUGGAGCAUCUGCCUAUAUAGUGCCAGCACUCAGUAGACUGAGGCAGCAACAUUGCUUUGAGUUCAAGGCUAGGUGUCACAUAGUGAGACUUUGUAUCUUAAAGAAAACAGAAAAGGAUAAGUGAAAACAAAACUGUGUCAAUAGAGGAAGAGGGGUUGAAGGGAAGAAAGGGGAUUGGGAAAAGACAAUCAAAAUAUCAUGUACAGGUACAAAAUCCCUAUGAUGAAUAUGGUCAUUAUGUUUAUCUAAAUGUACCAAUAAACUUAAAAGUUUGAAAAAUAAAUAAAUCUGUAACCGAAGCAAGGUAUUACAUAAAUGUAAAUCCCAGUUUCCCAGUUACUUAGGAGGCUGAGACCCCCAAGAUUAUAACAAAUUCAAGCCCAACCCAGUAUAAUUUAGUGAAAUGCUGUCUCAAAACGCAAAAAAAAAAAAAAAAAAAAAAAAAAAAGGAAAGAAAAAGAAAAGAAA